GGUUGAUCCUGCCAGUAGUUAUAUGCUUGUCUCAAAGACUAAGCCAUGCAUGUCUAAGUAUAAACCAAUUUAUACGGUGAAACUGCGAAUGGCUCAUUAUAUCAGUUAUUGUUUAUUUGAUGAUACCCUACCACUUGGAUAACCGUGGUAAUUCUAGAGCUAAUACAUGCACGAAAUCUCGACUCGUUUACGCGGGAAGGGAUGUAUUUAUUAGAUAAAAACCAAUCCGAUAACAUUUUUUUGAUAUCGGUUCAACUUGGUGAUUCAUGAUAACUUUGCGAAUCGCAAGACUU
RNAcentral lists this ribosomal RNA (293 nucleotides) under uncultured eukaryote. Its description in RNAcentral is "partial 18S ribosomal RNA". It matches the Rfam family "Eukaryotic small subunit ribosomal RNA", at positions 6 to 279 of the family's 1831-position model. The record is from RNAcentral.